UUUUAGGUAAACGCUGCAUGUAUAUGUAGAGGAAAGUCCAUGCUCGCACUGUCCUGUAAUGGCAGUAGUGUUUGUGUAUAGGGAAAAAAUAACCUAUAGUAACGUAAGUUAACGACGAAAUUUUAUCCUAAGGUUAAGACUAUGGAUAAAAUUCAUAAAGUACCACAGUGACGAAUUUUUUCGAAAGAAAAAAGUGAAACGUUGGUAAACUCCGCAAGCGAGAAACCCAAAUUUUGGUAGGGGAACCUUUAAAAGGGAAUAAUAACUGAUUAAGGGAUGAUUUUUUAUCAUAGAUAAAUGUUUACCACCUAGAAAUAGGUACAGAACAUGGCUUAUU
RNAcentral lists this RNase P RNA (337 nucleotides) under bovine gut metagenome. RNAcentral's name for it is "Bacterial RNase P class B". It matches the Rfam family "Bacterial RNase P class B". Rfam says of the family: Ribonuclease P (RNase P) is a ubiquitous endoribonuclease, found in archaea, bacteria and eukarya as well as chloroplasts and mitochondria. Its best characterised activity is the generation of mature 5'-ends of tRNAs by cleaving the 5'-leader elements of precursor-tRNAs. The record is from RNAcentral.